UUCAGCAAAACUUCAUGGCUUUCAUCAGGAUCUUAACAGCUCAAAAAAAAGCUGUUAAGAUCCUGAUGAAAGCCAUGAAGUUUGGCUGA
Molecule: microRNA precursor, 89 nt
Filed under: Pelobates cultripes (western spadefoot toad)
Lineage: Eukaryota; Metazoa; Chordata; Amphibia; Anura; Pelobatidae
Source: RNAcentral